RNAcentral lists this ribosomal RNA (391 nucleotides) under uncultured bacterium. Its description in RNAcentral is "bacterial SSU rRNA". It matches the Rfam family "Bacterial small subunit ribosomal RNA", at positions 29 to 417 of the family's 1533-position model. The record is from RNAcentral.
AUUGAACGCUGGCGGCAUGCCUUACACAUGCAAGUCGAACGGCAGCACGGGGGCAACCCUGGUGGCGAGUGGCGAACGGGUGAGUAAUGCAUCGGAACGUGCCCAGUAGUGGGGGAGUAACUAGUCGAAAGAUUAGCUAAUACCGCAUACGACCUAUGGGUGAAAGCGGGGGAGUUCGCAAGAACCUCGCGCUAUCGGAGCGGCCGAUGUCUGAUUAGCUAGUUGGCGGGGUAAAGGCCCACCACGGCUUCGAUCAGUAGCUGGUCUGAGAGGACGACCAGCCACACUGGGACUGAGACACGGCCCAGACUCCUACGGGAGGCAGCAGUGGGGAAUUUUGGACAAUGGGCGCAAGCCUGAUCCAGCCAUGCCGCGUGCGGGAAGAAGGCCU